Molecule: ribosomal RNA, 470 nt
Filed under: Streptococcus mitis
Lineage: Bacteria; Bacillati; Bacillota; Bacilli; Lactobacillales; Streptococcaceae
Description: bacterial SSU rRNA
Rfam family: Bacterial small subunit ribosomal RNA
Source: RNAcentral
GACGAACGCUGGCGGCGUGCCUAAUACAUGCAAGUAGAACGCUGAAGGAGGAGCUUGCUUCUCUGGAUGAGUUGCGAACGGGUGAGUAACGCGUAGGUAACCUGCCUGGUAGCGGGGGAUAACUAUUGGAAACGAUAGCUAAUACCGCAUAAUAGCAGUUGUUGCAUGACAACUGUUUAAAAGGUGCAAUUGCACCACUACCAGAUGGACCUGCGUUGUAUUAGCUAGUUGGUGGGGUAACGGCUCACCAAGGCGACGAUACAUAGCCGACCUGAGAGGGUGAUCGGCCACACUGGGACUGAGACACGGCCCAGACUCCUACGGGAGGCAGCAGUAGGGAAUCUUCGGCAAUGGACGAAAGUCUGACCGAGCAACGCCGCGUGAGUGAAGAAGGUUUUCGGAUCGUAAAGCUCUGUUGUAAGAGAAGAACGAGUGUGAGAGUGGAAAGUUCACACUGUGACGGAUCUACC